Chenopodium quinoa (quinoa) is the source of this 532-nucleotide long non-coding RNA. RefSeq lists it as uncharacterized. The record is from RefSeq and is a predicted model, not a curated record. NCBI's taxonomy places the organism in Eukaryota, Viridiplantae, Streptophyta, Magnoliopsida, Caryophyllales, Amaranthaceae. The transcript has 2 exons.
AAGUUUCUAGAACGAACCACCUUAAAGGAACUGAUUCUAACCAACAUGCCAAAGGAUUUUGUGGAAAAGGUUGGCAACAGUAAAUUCGAGCAUACUAUUCUCCAAACCAACCACUAUGAGUUUACUCCUUUGCCGUGGGAAAAAAAACCCUGAACUGUGGCAACCUGAUUGUGGCAUUAAUCUUCAGCAAGCAGACUGCCCACAAGAGCACCACAUCAAUUCAGGAAUUUCAUACUAGAAGAGUUCUCAUAUCCUGUGAGCUGAACUGACACAAGAAGUUCUGUACCAGUGUACCACUAUACUCGUACGUAGUACUUACUUUUCUUGUUUCCAUUUUAUCUUACCUUGUUUCUUGGAAAAAAGUGGAUCAGAAGUCUGAUCACCAGUGCACCUAUCCUUAUAGAUUUCAGUUAUGCUACUGGUUGCUCUUGAAGGUAUUUAUUUGCAUUUCAGAGAAGACACUAAGUUCCCGGGCAAGAAUAAUUUGUUAUCACAUUUUUCCUUGCAUUAUUGUAUAUGCUUUUCAAGUGUC